CCUACGGGAGGCUGCAGUGGGGAAUAUUGGACAAUGGGGGCAACCCUGAUCCAGCCAUGCGGCGGGUGUGAAGAAGGCCCUCGGGUUGUAAAGCACUUUCAGUGAGGAAGAACGCCUGGUGGUUAAUACCCAUCAGGAAAGACAUCACUCACAGAAGAAGCACCGGCUAACUCCGUGCCAGCAGCCGCGGUAAUACGGAGGGUGCGAGCGUUAAUCGGAAUUACGGGGCGUAAAGCGCGCGUAGGUGGCUUGAUAAGCCGGUUGUGAAAGCCCCGGGCUCAACCUGGGAACGGCAUCCGGAACUGUCAAGCUAGAGUGCAGGAGAGGAAGGUAGAAUUCCCGGUGUAGCGGUGAAAUGCGUAGAGAUCGGGAGGAAUACCAGUGGCGAAGGCGGCCUUCUGGACUGACACUGACACUGAGGUGCGAAAGCGUGGGUAGCAAACAGGAUUAGAUACCCGGGUAGUC
This 465-nucleotide ribosomal RNA is filed under the name Vreelandella stevensii. RNAcentral describes it as "partial 16S ribosomal RNA". It matches the Rfam family "Bacterial small subunit ribosomal RNA", at positions 338 to 795 of the family's 1533-position model. Lineage: Bacteria; Pseudomonadati; Pseudomonadota; Gammaproteobacteria; Oceanospirillales; Halomonadaceae. The record is from RNAcentral.